GGGGCUGUCCUGGUUUCGACGUGGGUUCGGGAUCGGUGUGGUGCAUGUCGAGCUUGAAUGACGCUCGUAAAUCUCCGUUCAAAAAACUAACUGCAAACGACGAACGUUUCGCACUCGCCGCUUAAAUCCGGUGAGCCUUGCAACAGCAUGUUGAUGGGCUGGGCAAGGGGGUAGCAAUACCUCCAGGCUGCAAGGGAAUUUUCAUCAGCUGGUCGUCUACCGGGUACCUUGGUAGAUGACAAGAUCUAAGGGUACUGGCUUGCGAUGCAGCGUGUGUCUGCGCGGCAUUUCGGGCGAGAUUCAAAUCAGAACACUAAACAUGUAGAUCUGCUCGACGAAGGCUGACGGACGCGGGUUCAAUUCCCGCCAGCUCCACCA
RNAcentral lists this transfer-messenger RNA (378 nucleotides) under Comamonas piscis. RNAcentral's name for it is "Standard tmRNA". It matches the Rfam family "transfer-messenger RNA". From Rfam's summary of the family: Bacterial tmRNA, also known as 10Sa RNA or SsrA, is named for its dual tRNA and mRNA-like properties. Its role is to liberate the mRNA from a stalled ribosome. The record is from RNAcentral. Lineage: Bacteria; Pseudomonadati; Pseudomonadota; Betaproteobacteria; Burkholderiales; Comamonadaceae. RNAcentral also lists the same sequence under 1 other name.